GAAUAUUGGACAAUGGGCGAAAGCCUGAUCCAGCCAUGCCGCGUGCAGGAUGACGGCCCUACGGGUUGUAAACUGCUUUUAUACGGGAAUAAACCCCUCUACGUGUAGAGGGCUGCAGGUACCGUAAGAAUAAGGAUCGGCUAACCCCGUUCCAGCACCCGCGGUAAUACGGAGGAUCCAAGCUGUAUCCGGAUUUAUUGGGUUUAAAGGGUCCGUAGGCGGGAUAUUAAGUCAGUGGUGAAAGGCUGUCGCUUAACGAUAGCACUGCCAUUGAUACUGGUAUUCUUGAGUAUAGUUGAGGUGGGCGGAAUAAGUCAUGUAGCGGUGAAAUGCAUAGAUAUGACUUAGAACACCAAUUGCGAAGGCAGCUCACUAAGCUAUUACUGACGCUGAGGGACGAAAGCGUGGGUAGCAAACAGG
This 420-nucleotide ribosomal RNA is filed under the name uncultured bacterium. Its description in RNAcentral is "bacterial SSU rRNA". It matches the Rfam family "Bacterial small subunit ribosomal RNA", at positions 359 to 776 of the family's 1533-position model. The record is from RNAcentral.